UACGUAGGGUGCGAGCGUUAAUCGGAAUUACUGGGCGUAAAGCGUGCGCAGGCGGCGCGCUAAGACAGGUGUGAAAGCCCCGAGCUUAACUUGGGAAUUGCGCUUGUGACUGGCGUGCUGGAGUGUGGCAGAGGGAGGUGGAAUUCCACGUGUAGCAGUGAAAUGCGUAGAGAUGUGGAGGAACACCGAUGGCGAAGGCAGCCCCCUGGGCUAACACUGACGCUCAGGCACGAAAGCGUGGGGAGCAAACAGG
RNAcentral lists this ribosomal RNA (253 nucleotides) under uncultured bacterium. Its description in RNAcentral is "partial 16S ribosomal RNA". It matches the Rfam family "Bacterial small subunit ribosomal RNA", at positions 524 to 776 of the family's 1533-position model. The record is from RNAcentral.